This 468-nucleotide ribosomal RNA is filed under the name uncultured bacterium. RNAcentral's name for it is "partial 16S ribosomal RNA". It matches the Rfam family "Bacterial small subunit ribosomal RNA", at positions 28 to 507 of the family's 1533-position model. The record is from RNAcentral.
GACGAACGCUGGCGGCGUGCUUAACACAUGCAAGUCGAACGGAAAGGCCCUGCUUUUGUGGGGUUCUCGAGUGGCGAACGGGUGAGUAACACGUGAGUAACCUGCCCUUGACUUUGGGAUAACUUCAGGAAACUGGGGCUAAUACCGGAUAGGAGCUCCUGCUGCAUGGUGGGGGUUGGAAAGUUUCGGCGGUUGGGGAUGGACUCGCGGCUUAUCAGCUUGUUGGUGGGGUAGUGGCUUACCAAGGCUUUGACGGGUAGCCGGCCUGAGAGGGUGACCGGCCACAUUGGGACUGAGAGACGGCGCAGACUCCUACGGGAGGCAGCAGUGGGGAAUAUUGCACAAUGGGCGGAAGCCUGAUGCAGCAACGCCGCGUGCGGGAUGACGGCCUUCGGGUUGUAAACCGCUUUCGCCUGUGACGAAGCGUGAGUGACGGUAAUGGGUAAAGAAGCACCGGCUAACUACGUG